Long non-coding RNA from Nothobranchius furzeri (turquoise killifish), 3480 nucleotides. RefSeq lists it as uncharacterized. NCBI's taxonomy places the organism in Eukaryota, Metazoa, Chordata, Actinopteri, Cyprinodontiformes, Nothobranchiidae. The record is from RefSeq and is a predicted model, not a curated record.
GGAGACCUACCUGAUUCCCUCCCGCGUGCGAUCUCCGCUGGAGCGACUUCAAACGAGAAGUAAAUGUUUGCAAAAAGAUGAAGAAAUAUAACCGAGAGGAGACGCUCCGUCGGCUCCCUUCGCUCCGGACCGAGAGGCGCGUCAGAGUCCGUUCAUCGUAGCCGGACGUCAGCGCUGGACACCAGGAGGAGGAUGGAGUUUAUAUCAGACCUCAGCAGGAACAUCUGAGCCUCCUGUACACCAACCAGGAUCUCCACUUUCUGAGCUACAUCACCGCAGAUGCUUUUGAACAAGAUACAACCACUAAAAUAACUUGUAAAUGUGAGUAUUUAUCUAUUUUAAUCUUUAAAGAAUGUGUCAAUACAUUUUUGGAAGGCCCAGGUAAUGGUGCAUUCAGUAAUGAGCCCUAGUUGGAGUCCCUGGUGAUUGUUUCUGACAAGAGAAGAAAGGCUUUAAAUCUUUACUUAUGUCCGACUCUUUGUUCACAUCAGAUACAUAAAAACGAGAUAAAAAAUCUACCAAGAGAAUAAAAACCACAAAGCAGUACAAUCAUUUAAAAAUUAAGCUUGAAUCAGUUCAAACAUGAAUUUUCCCCCCAAAUAUUUAUAUUAAUAUUGUGCAUAAUUUUAGCAUCAAGCAAAAUCAAUGUCUCCAUGCAAACUGUGUUUUUACCUGUGAGGGUAGAAAUGUCUCUUCUAAAUCCGAGACCAUGGUCUUAAAUCGGAAAAGGGUAGAAUGCCUUCUCUAGGACAGGGACCAGGUCCUGUCUCAAGUGGAGGAGUUUAAGUAUCUCGGGGUCUUGUUCAUGAGUGAGGGAAAAAUGGAGCAUGAGAUUGAUUGGUGCUGCAUCUGCAGUGAUGCAGGCAUUGUACCAAGCUGCCAGGGUGAAGAGAGAGCUGAGCCAGAAGGCAAAGCUCUCAAUUUACCGGUCGAUCAACGUUCCUACCCUCACCGAUGGUCACGAGCUUUGGGUAGUGACCGAAAGAACGAGAUCGCCAAUACAAGCAGCCAAAAUGACUUUUCUCCAAAGGGUGUCUGGGCUCCCCAUUAGAGAUAGGGUGAGAAGCUUGGUCAUCCAAGAGGGGCUCGGGGUAGACCCGCUGCUCCUCCACAUCGAGAUGAGCCAGUUGAGGUGGCUCGGGCAUCUGGUCAGGAUGCCUCUGUAACCAUACCAGCCCUACUGGUAGGUCCAGUUCUUUAUUAACUCUGCAUUGUGUUGUACAAAGAGUCUUGAGAUGAAGUUUUUGCUGACACCAGCAUUUAAUCUGUUAACACAGGAAUGCUGGUCAGAAACCUAGCCUUUGGUAGGAUCAUACAGCACACUCUGUUGGAAUUAAAAGACUCAAAUAAGUACUAAAUAACUUUGAGUUUUCCUCACACACCGUGCACUGACAGAACUCGACCUACCUCAAACGUCUCAGUCUUAAAACUGACUAACAUCAGACGCAGCUGGACACGUCAGCACAUAAAACGGAGACGUUUUCAACUGUUUUACUGAUGGCAAGCGGAAUGACACUGUUUACUCUAUUACACCUCCUGAAUGCCUCCCUGGUGAGGUUUUCCGGGGCACGUUCAACUGGGAGGAGACCCAAGGGAAGACCCAGGACACGGUGGAGGGACCAUGUCUCUUGGCUGGCCAGGGAAUGCCCUGGGAUUCCCACGGAAGAGCUGGCCCAAGUAACUGGGGAGAGGGAAGUCUGGGUCUCUCGGCUUAGGCUGCUGCCCCUGCGACCUGACUCCGGAUAAGCGGCUGAAAAUGGAUGGAUGGAAGGGUAGGAAUGUCUGUUUAAGCUUCAGGUGACCGACACUUUUGUAGCACUGAUGCAGGAACUCUAUGUAAUAUUCCUGACUGUGUCUGGUGAUGACGAACUGUAACCAAACUGAUCAGAAACCAAAGCUGUCAGGUAAAAUCAUGUUGAGCUGUGACCUUCAAGCAUCCUGCUAAACCACAUUCCACAGCUAUAGGAGAAGGUUCUAGGUCACAUUUGGUUUUUAACAGCUUCUUUUGCUGAUGAUUUUAUAAAAAAUUCAAUUAGGUUUAUUUUAGGACAUAAGCUCACUUUUCUGUUGUGUCAUGAUUCUAUAAAAGAGUUGCCAGCUUACAUAAUCAUACUUAGCAGAUGAACUCAAAAACCCUCUACGUGGGAACUCAUCAUCCAACCGUCCAUUUUUCCUUUCAGUUAAGCCACAAUGUUUUUAUCUGAGGGGUCUGCAACCACAACAUAAGAGUUUAUUUCUUUUUAAUGUGAGUCUCUUAAACUGUUAUGCAACAAGGAAAAAAUGGUGAGAACUUUCUAGAUUUUGUUGAGAACCACACAGAGCUUUAUGAAUUCUUACUAAUUCUGAAAAAAAAUUACUAAAAUCAGCAGUCCAGUCGGCGAUAGAGCUUCGCAUCAAUGAACACACACACACACACACACAUAUAUAAACAGAGAGAGAGAGAGAGAGAGAAAGAGAGAGAGAGAGAGACAGAGAGAGAGAACUUUUAGUUAUUUUUGCUUUUAUUGAUUGUUGUAAUAAUAUUUAAUGGCUGGUUACACAUUUCAUGAUAUUCUAUCUAUUAUAUAAUAUAAUACGUUUUGUUUCUGUCACAUUCAGCACUUUGAAAUGUGCUACUGUUGCGCUAAUUAGCUUUCAAAGAUCACAAUAGAUAAACAGCUGUGGUUGUUGAAUGAUUAAUAAAUAGUCUUAAUUAGUUUGAUACAUUUUCAAAUAAUUGAUAUUUGUUAAUUCAAUGGGUUAUCUGCGAUUUUACCUUUUUGAAUCAAUUUUUAUCCUUUUCUGAGCUUCCCCAUUUGACCUUUUACUUUGGAUUGAAGGAAUCAGUGUGAGUUAGUGAAUAUGAGUGUGAUUUCAGCCAGAAAACCAAACUAUUACAGAGCCAUUAGAGAUAGCUCAGGCUUUUCUUUUACUUCGGACAAAUCGUGUUGUAUAAAUACUUUCAUGCAAACUGUUCAUCGUGUUCUUGCAGAUGCAAGCAGAAAUAGUGAUGUUUGCAGCACCAGUGGCAGUCAUGGCCUGUGCCGAGUUAAACUCUGUGCUCUGCUGAGUCUUUCUGUGUGCAGGUGGGUGUGUCCGGAGAGCAGCUGCUGUCUAUCUGCUCAUCAGUGGUCCGGGGAUUUAAGGAGCGUCGGGACAACUCAUCAGUGCCGGAUGAUUACUCAGUAUUGGGAACUUCUCCUCCACCAGCCAACCUCCAGCAGGAAAUAGACUCAUUGGAUUCAAACCUUGCCUGCCAGCCCCGUCGCUUAUCCCUGACCGCCUGCUCUCCAACCCCACCUGCCAACCUGGACGUCCCGAGCUCUGGUGCUCAGCUCCCAGCCAUUACACCUGACUCUCACUCGACCCGCUCAGCCAGCCGUGACUUACCCUCCUCUCAAAGCCUUCUCCAACAACCAGGAAACCAACUCCACCGGAACCACCCAAACUCCGACCUUCAUCUUCACCUCCACCGUAUUAAAAUAAACCUUUUUACUUACC